RNAcentral lists this ribosomal RNA (402 nucleotides) under uncultured bacterium. RNAcentral describes it as "bacterial SSU rRNA". It matches the Rfam family "Bacterial small subunit ribosomal RNA", at positions 355 to 774 of the family's 1533-position model. The record is from RNAcentral.
UGGGGAAUUUUGCGCAAUGGGGGAAACCCUGACGCAGCAACGCCGCGUGCGGGAUGACGGCCUUCGGGUUGUAAACCGCUUUCAGCAGGGAAGAUAGUGACGGUACCUGCAGAAGAAGCUCCGGCUAACUACGUGCCAGCAGCCGCGGUAAUACGGGGGGUGCAAGCGUUGUCCGGAAUCAUUGGGCGUAAAGCGUUCGUAGGCGGUAUAUCAAGUCUGGUGUUAAAGCCCGGGGCUCAACUCCGGUUCAGCAUCGGAUACUGGUAAACUAGAAUGCGGUAGAGGUAAGGGGAAUUCCUGGUGUAGCGGUGAAAUGCGUAGAUAUCAGGAGGAACAUCGGUGGCGAAAGCGCCUUACUGGGCCGUUAUUGACGCUGAGGAACGAAAGCCGGGGGAGCAAAUG